This 247-nucleotide long non-coding RNA is filed under the name Elaeis guineensis (African oil palm). Its description in RNAcentral is "long non-coding RNA (EGUI_LNC003385)". The record is from RNAcentral. Lineage: Eukaryota; Viridiplantae; Streptophyta; Magnoliopsida; Arecales; Arecaceae.
CGUUACUGGCGUUCUUCUCUCUCCCCUCUUCUCCUUUCUUCUCAUCUACUUCUUCUCCUCCAAGCUCAUCCAUUAGCCCUCUAUGCUAGCUCCCUCCACCUCCACCCAUUCUUCGUCCGUAACUUCUCUUUCCUCUUUUGCUUCUUCCUCCUCAUCCAUUUCUCCUCCUCAUUCUCUUCUUCCUUCAAGUUUGCCCAUAAGCCAUUCCCCCCUAUGGUGGCUCUCUCCACCUCGACUCAUUCCUUCU